CACACCACCCACCCCUUCUCACCGCCUCCCUCACGAACUAGACCACCCCAGUGCCCCCCUCUCUUCUUCUUCUUAUUCGAACUCCCCAGGCCUUUCGUCCUCGAAGUGCUGAAAGGCCGUCUUUUCAAAAUUUGGCCUUUUAUUUUAAUUUGAAAAAAAAAAAGUUAGUGAGCAAGUGAUUGCCGUUCAAAUUUUUAGUCAAAAAUAAGCCGAGCCAGCUUCGGCAAUGUAUUAAAUCGUUCUUGCCGAGAUAGCCUUAAGUAUCUUUUAUUUGUCGAAAGGCUAUUUUCGUAAAAGAAUGGACAAGUUUGUAGAGUGUCGUGAAAUAAUUUUCCCGGCCUCAAAUUUCAUGUGAGGGCCACGUUGCAGAAAAUAGCCAUUUGGCUGAAAGUGACAAAUAGGGAAAUGGAUCUAUCGUUUGUUUUUGAGUUUGUAAUUUUUUUUUUUUGAUAGAAUAUGCGGAUUGUUUGAUUUUCGAGUCUGUAUGUUGUCUUUCCGUCAAAUUUUGAUAGUUUGGUCCGUUUUUAAACCAUUGUAAUUAAAGUUGGUUUUAUUAGGAAAGUUGAAAAUUCCAAAAAAUGUUUCAUAAGUGCUUACUUUUUAUUGAUCCGAACUACGUAAGGUCUGAUUCAUGCAGGAUCAUGAUACAUAGGCAAUCUCCAUAAGAUUCAACCACCACAAAAAAAUCAAAAAAAAAAACGAAGAGAAAAAGAUGUUGUUAAUAAUGAGGACAAACUAGGUCCAUUCUAACAUGUUUUGUUUUGAAUUUUGAGAAAGCUGGAGUGAUCGGUUUGUGGUAAGCUGAAGGCGCAAGGCCUAGGAAAUUUUGAUUCAAGACGGUGACAUCCUUUACAUGAACAUGAUGAUGCACAUUUUGUGGGGAUGAUCCCGGUGAAAUGGGGUAUGAGAAUAUACUGACUAAAGCCGAAGAUCUUGAAGCAGAUAGUCGUCUUGGCAAUAUGGAUGCGAAGCUCAAUGGCUAAAAAUGGCGUGCUUGUUAAUUGGAAAUACGCUCCAUGUCGGGCCAGUUGGAGGGAGUCUUGGUAGUGGGCUCUGAUUUUCCUUCUUGUUUUCCGGAUUAUUCCAGGGUGUAAUCCAAAUUUUGUUUUACUUUAUGCAAAAGUGUGAACCCUGUUAUCCCCUGUUUUAUUAAAGUAAAAAUUUUCUUGUUUUGUUUAAUUUUGUUUCUUCUUCUUUCGCUUUCUGAACAGUACUCUUUUUACUGGUUCUGAUGAUAUGGCAUGCACGACGGAUCUUCGGCCCAGUCUAAAUGAUCAAUCGAAUUCCAAGCUAAUUAUAUAAGAGAUCGACUAUGAUAGUGAAUCGGAAUAUGAUGAGGAUGAAGUCUUUAAAGAGGUAAACAUGGAACUAAGCCAGUACGAAGAAAAACCCAAGCUCAACUUAAAUAACACUGAAGCUGGCAAUUAGGGGAAUGCCGACAAUGUGAGGGAAACCAAAAUCAGCAUCCAUAUUGAAACAGAUUCUCCCAUUUCAGGAAAUUUGAAGUAGGGCAGCAGGUACUGAAAUUGAUUCUCCCGCAUCAGGUCGUGGCAAAAGGGAAAGUUCUCUGCAAACUGGCAAGGACCAUUUGUUGUGACCGGGGUGUUAUCCAAUGGCGCUUUAUGUUUGACGGAUAUCGAAGGAAGAUGCAUUGACAUGGUUAUCCAUUCUGACACAAUCAAGAGAUACUAUGUGUAAAUUCAUUGAUUGUAUUUAUCAUUAUUUUUGUUUGUUUGUACUUGGUAUUUAUCGGAUAACGAAAUGACGGAGGAAAUUCUUUCUUCUACCUAAACACUGUCAACCUUUGUUUUCCCCUUUGAGCCGUAUUUAUUCUUUCAUACCCCUCUCUUGGAAUCGUAAAAAAAAUGAAAACAAAAAAAGAGAAAAAUGAUAAGAAAAUCAUAAGAAAAAAAUAUUUGGGAACUACGUUUGACCUGAUUCCUCAAGAAAGGAUACAUAGGCGCCUCACGGCUCGGUCAUAGUGUAACGAAAUGUCGCGAAAAAUCAAGGAUCCCCAAACAGAAAACUGGGGCAGAAGUUAGGUUGUUAGCUCGGUCAUAAUGUGACGAAAUGUCACGAAAAAUCAAAAAUCCCCAUGCGAAAACUGGGGCAGAAGUUAGGUUGUCAGAAAUUUUUUAUUCCAAGAGUUGUAGUCUCUCUCCCAUCGAAGUCACUUCGAAUUUUUUAUUCCCCUUUUUUCUUUCAAGCCCACAAAACCCACAUGUUAUAACCAAAAAAAAACUCUCGAUCAGUAUCCGAAAGGUGCCGAGUGAGGAAAGUGGAAGCCAGUAAUAAUACACUGAUCCCCGGACGAGGGAAGAUUAUGAGUUGAGGGAACUGCUAGCAGGAAUCCCCAGUAGAAUUGCUAGCAGAAAUCCCUAGUAGAAUUGCUAGCCAAAGGAAUCCCCGAUAGAGUUGAUGCCAAUGAAUUCCCCAGUAGAGAGAAUCUUAUUGGUAACGCUCCCAUUCCCAGCUGAGAAAAUAAAAUGAGAGAGUCUUAUCGUUGAAAACCUUUACAUGCACCAUAAGGUGACGAAAGCUAAGAGAAAACAAAAUGGGAGAGUCUAAUUAGUGAAAAAACCUGGAAGGGCACUAUGAGGCGACAAUAUAAGAUUAGCAGAAAGGAUCCGAAUUUGGGCAAAAGUUGGGCACCUAUUUAUCCCCAGCAAAUGAAGCCACGGUGAAAACCUUCACAGGCGCCAUAAGGCAACGAGAGUCGAGAGAAAUGAGAGAGUCUUAUUAGUGAAAACCCCUCGAAGGGCACAAUGAGGCGACAAGAUAAGAUUGGUAGAAAGUAUCCGCAUUUGGGAAAAAGUUGGGCACCUGCUUAUCCCCAACAAAUGAAGCCAUAAGAAAUUGAUUAAUACUAAUAGACCGGGUCGAUUAUUCCAGAAUAUAUGACAUGAUCAUCCAGGCCAGUACACCACCCAAAUAAGUCUUUUCUUUUCUUUUUCCCAGCAUUCGUUCAGAAAGAUUUCCUCCCUUUUUCUAUCAUUUCUUUUGACUUUCCCCCAGCAAUUUAUUUUUGAGAUAGCAGUUUAUUUUUUAGAAAGGUUUGUCAGGGCUUGCUACCAGUUGCCAAAUGGUACAAGGCAAAAAAACGAACAGGGCAAGCGGAGGACAGGACAACAAAACGAAAGAGCAUUGUUACAAGAUCCUCUUGUUAACAAGGCAAGCGGAAGACAAGGCAACAAAACGAAAGAGCGUUGUUGUAAGACCAUCUCGAAUAGAACGACCUUGUUUGAAUUGGUGUGGAGUGGGUUAGGUUUGGUUUACCAAAGUGACAAAUUCACUCCACCGAAUGGGUCCAAAAUAUCAGCAGAAGUAGGGGAAAAGUUGGAAAGGCAACAGUUGGGAAAACGUGGACCAAAUUCCAAGAGAAUCCCCGGCAGAAAUGGCACAACCACUUACCAUGUUUUGAACUAAUUAAGUUUUCUUUGAUUUGAAGCAGAAAAAGAAAUGCUGAUAAUGGCAGAAGGGCGUACCACAAGGGAGAGCGCCAAAACUGGGGCAGAAAAUUUUCUUCCUUUGUCGAAAAUUUUCUUGAAAAGGGGAGAAACCGAAUUCAAGAUAUGACUUCAUCUCAUAUGACUACGUGUCACAAUAGCUUUUUAUCCUACAUCUCAUGUGACUACGUGUCACAAUAGCUUUGCAUCUUACAUCUCAUGUGACUACGCGUCAUGAUAGCUUUGCAUCUACAUCUCAUGUGACCAUGCGUCAUAAUAGCUUUGCAUCUACAUCUCAUGUGACUACGCGUCAUGAUAGCUUUGCAUCUGCAUCUCAUGUGACUACGUGUCAUAAUAGCUUUGCAUCUACAUCUCAUAUAACCGCAUCGCAUAUAACUCCAGUCAUAUAGCUUUGCAAUUAUGACUUGAAAUCGAAACCCCCCGGAAGGCAGAAGGUUACCACAAAAGCCCCAGCAUGGCAAAUGCUGAUGAAGAAGGCCAUAUCCCUAGGGAAUCGUCAAAAAGAUUUAUCAUGUUGACGAAAUAAAGCCAUCUCCCCAAUGGAAUCACCAAGAAGCAUAAGGAGGGAAGCCAUAUCCCCAGCAGACCAAGCAAAGAUCAAUGAAACCUAGUGUUGAGACAGGCAAAAGGUCAGUGUCAUCCACAAGCUCUCGGAAGAAAGAAGCACCGAAAGAAACAUAAGCUGACAAGAAAGCAAGGCCAUCAAAAACAAAUUGAAGAUAGAUAGGAUUUUGUGAUCCAUAGGCUAGCCUAGCUUCUUAUUUUUCUCUUUGACACGGUGUAAUAAGGAGAUCAGUAAGGCAAUGGUAACAGUAUACAACAGCAGUAACAACAGAAUCACAAUUUCCCGGUAGUCCAUGCUACCAAGACUUCCCGAACUACAUUAACCUGCUUCCCUUUUUGCCAGGGAUAUGUAGGAAACAUUCGAAGCAAAGUUUCGGUUAAAUCUUUCAAAAAAUGCUUCACACGGAGUACUCAAACGGGCAAAAUCGCUCGUAUUCGCUCACUUUAUCUUUGCACGAAAACCCUUCAUGCUUUCGAAUAAAGAGGGGCAGCUGUGACCACGUGAUUUUUGCCCUAUAUAUUAAUUAUUCCCAGAAAAUUCAAAAUAAAAUAAUUUUUAGUUUGCUUGCAAUUGUUGUGAAUUUGUGUUAUUUUUCUUGUAUUAUUUGCAUUUGUAUGCUCAUGUUCAUUUGUUAAAUUAAUAAAAAAUACAAAAAUAUGUCUCACUUGCAUGUAGGAUUUAAUUCUAUAAUUAGGAGUUAUUAAGUUUGUUUUGUAAAAUAAAAAUCACAAAAUAUGCAUCCUUUGCAUUUUUAGCCUUUAAUGUCCAAAUUAUAUUGUUGUGCUUUAAUUUUUAUUUAAUUUUAUGUGAUAAUUGUUUUCUAUAAGUCAGUUAGUAUUUUAAGAUAAUUUUGAUUUCUAUAAUUUAAUCUUAGCAUUUUAGUUUUAUUAAUUAGAAGGUAAAAGAAAAGAGAACAAAAAUAGCAAGGAGAAAUUCGGAUUGGGCCAAUUUCAAUUAAAGCAACUAGGCGCAAGCAAGCUGGCCCAAAAUAAAUCCAACCUGGUCCAAGCAAGACCCAUGCUCGGACUGCCAAGUACCCAAACGACCCNNNNNNNNNNNNNNNNNNNNNNNNNNNNNNNNNNNNNNNNNNNNNNNNNNNNNNNNNNNNNNNNNNNNNNNNNNNNNNNNNNNNNNNNNNNNNNNNNNNNNNNNNNNNNNNNNNNNNNNNNNNNNNNNNNNNNNNNNNNNNNNNNNNNNNNNNNNNNNNNNNNNNNNNNNNNNNNNNNNNNNNNNNNNNNNNNNNNNNNNNNNNNNNNNNNNNNNNNNNNNNNNNNNNNNNNNNNNNNNNNNNNNNNNNNNNNNAGUGCCCCCCACUCUUCUUCUUCUUCUUCGAACCCCCCAAGCAACCCCCCCCCCACGGUCAAACCCCACUGCCCCUGUUCAACUUUCUCUUCGAACCAGGUCGAAAUUGUUCAGCUCGACGAUUCCAACGCUGAGAUUCGAUCUGUCGUCCAUCCUGUUACAAGCACCAGAACGGAGAAAGCUAUUACUGUGUCUGCUCGUUCGUGGCUACGUCCGUUCACUCUUCUGUUUGUUCGUGGAUGCGGUUGUUCGUUCGUAGGCUUCAUAUUGAAUCAAUUCCUGAGCUCCUUCUCUUUGUUUCAGAUUUAGCUGAGAGCAUUGAAAAAACUCACUAAGGACAAUCACUCUAUUUCAGUGAAGAGAUCCAAAUACACAUUUCGGUGAUUCUUGUACAAACUAGGUAUCUAUUUUUGUAUUUAAAGUGUUUUUUUCCUGUGUUGUAGCUUUGCAUAUGAAUUCAGUUCUUUUCGUCCAAUAUAUUUACUGUGUUCCUUGUUCGUAUUUAGGAUUAAUCUGAAAUUAUGAUAGUUUGUUCAUUGUGUUCUUGUUGUAAUGUUGUUUGGUUUAAUUUUAAUUCAAUUGUUUGAGUUCAAUGGUUUGAAUACAAGUGUUGCUUGAUUUUGCUAAGUUAAGUAACUGUUGUUUCCUGGAAUUCUCAGUUCUUUUUUUUCUCUUUAUUUUUUGGUUGUUUCUAUGAACAUUUGUAGCAUGGUUGUGCUUCAAUUUCAGAUUCUUCUAUUUCAGUUGAAUCAGGAAUCAUCUAAGGAUUGGUUAUAGUUGUUGUAAAUUAGUAGUUAGUAAUCAAUUUUUAGGAUUGAACAGGUCCAUAAUUUAAGGAUCUAAUAACAAGUUAAGGAAGUAUAGGGCAUGGCAGUAAUUUUUCGGGGCUUCAAGGGUAAUUUAGGAAUUGGAAAAGUUAGGAAAAUUGUUUAAUAUUAGUAGCCUUGAUAGUGGGGUAUUUAGAGGCCUUUUAUAGAAUGUGUUAGUGGAGAACAAGAGGGAUUUAGGGAAUAAAGUAAGGAAAACAUUAGAUAGUGAAAUUUUUAGUAAAAAUGGGCGGAUUUUGUGCAUUCUUGGUCGGGUAAGUGGGGCUGUCCAAAGAGAAAAGAGGUCUGUUGGUUGUUUUAAAUAGGAGGAGUUUUAAUAAUUGGUGACUGGAAUUUGGGCAAAUUUGGUUAAGUUAGUGACCAGUUGUUUUGGCACUAAUAAAGUAGCUUAUAACAUUAGUUUAAUAAGUUGGGGUACAAAACAUAAUGGUAUGAGGGGGUCCAUUAAGUAAUAAGUAGUAUACUAAUAUAUUAGUCAAGAACAUACUAAAAAAAAUACACCGAGAGAAUAUACUGAGGGGGGACUGUGGGGUUUGUUUGACUGCUUUUGCUUAAUUGAAAAUCAAAAAUAGUACAAGUGGUAAUAAAUGGGUAAAAGAUACACAUAGAGGGGAAUAUUUUGGGCUGAAAAGUAAAGAAAGGAGUGAGGGUAAUUAAAAGGGGUAAUAAUAAAUAGGGUAGGAAUAAUAAUUAAAGGGAAAGAGAGUCUUGUUUUAGGGAUAAAUAAGAGUCAUUUUGACGCUUAGACAGAGGAGCUUGAACAUACUAAAAAAAAUACACCGAGAGAAUAUACUGAGGGGGGACUGUGGGGUUUGUUUGACUGCUUUUGCUUAAUUGAAAAUCAAAAAUAGUACAAGUGGUAAUAAAUGGGUAAAAGAUACACAUAGAGGGGAAUAUUUUGGGCUGAAAAGUAAAGAAAGGAGUGAGGGUAAUUAAAAGGGGUAAUAAUAAAUAGGGUAGGAAUAAUAAUUAAAGGGAAAGAGAGUCUUGUUUUAGGGAUAAAUAAGAGUCAUUUUGACGCUUAGACAGAGGAGCUUGAACAUACUAAAAAAAAUACCCCGAGAGAAUAUACUGAGGGAUAGAGUGAGGUUUAAGGCUAAGCUUACCAAAAGAGAGCUUCAGAUUUUUUUCUUCUUAAGUGUUUGAAAUCAAAAGCUACUGUCGAUCUCUGCUUGGAUUUGGUGUUUGUUGUCUGACACUAUUGGUUUUCAAUUGGUAUUGCUGGGCUUUUUCGAUUGGGAUUCAUACAUUGUUGCAUCGGUUUCUUGGAUUUUUUCUACUUGAUUUUCAAUCUGUUCCUAGGUUUUCUCCUACUAUUUGCUACUGGGUUUUACUAGUUGUUGCUGAGUUUUGCUGUUGCUGUGAAUACUACUGUUUGGCACUAAUCAAUCACUCUUCUUCUUUUGCUUUCCAAUACCAGGUACACAAUUGAUUCACUGAAUCUUGUAAGCCGAAACUUGAAGCUUGAAUACAAAAAUGAAGAGUUAAAGUUAUUUUGAAUUCACUUUACUAGUAUAUUGAAUAUUAUUUGUAUAUAUAUUAGUUCACUUCCUCUACUAAAAUCAUGUAGGUAGCUGUGAUGUAUAACUGAACAUUUAUAUAUGGCAACUUAAUUGGUGGACUCUCUAUGUUUUCUUGUAGCUAGAAAGGGAUAAGGGUGUAGUCAUUAACACUCUGUUUAUUUCAGUUUGCUUAGUACUAUACUUCAAAAGCAUGUCAAGCCUUAGGUUGAUUUAUCUAUUAAAUGAUCUAAGUUAUCUCAUUUAACAAGUUGCCUAUCUAAACCUUCAAGAACAUGUUUA
This 7963-nucleotide long non-coding RNA is filed under the name Nicotiana benthamiana. RNAcentral describes it as "long non-coding RNA (NBEN_LNC027572)". Lineage: Eukaryota; Viridiplantae; Streptophyta; Magnoliopsida; Solanales; Solanaceae. The record is from RNAcentral.